This is a long non-coding RNA of Arabidopsis thaliana (thale cress), 322 nucleotides long. RefSeq annotates it as other RNA. The transcript has a single exon. NCBI's taxonomy places the organism in Eukaryota, Viridiplantae, Streptophyta, Magnoliopsida, Brassicales, Brassicaceae. The record is from RefSeq.
UUUGGGAGUUUAUGAAAUUCUGUGUUUGGUGGAUCAGUAAAAGCUCUUUAUUUUGCUUCUUCUGAGUUUUCUGAAUUUGGUGUUAAUGGUGAAAGAGAGAGAUUUUGUAAGAGGCUGUGGAUGGAUGGAUGACCACUCUUUUCUCUUUCUUUAGGAGAUGUGGAAAAAGAAAUAGGAUUAGGAUAGAGAGAGUCUGUAGAGAAGGGAGCGUAAUUUGUUUUCUUUAUUUUUUAAUAUAACAAUCAAACACUCUUUUCUUUCUUCAGCCACCACUGACCAGUCUAAAGACAGUACAGUGAGCUUGGUGUGUGUAUUGCAGUCU